Molecule: long non-coding RNA, 528 nt
Filed under: Scleropages formosus (Asian bonytongue)
Lineage: Eukaryota; Metazoa; Chordata; Actinopteri; Osteoglossiformes; Osteoglossidae
Description: lncRNA (ENSSFOG00015032258.1)
Source: RNAcentral
UGUUGCUGUGCAUCAGGCCCAGCUCAGUUACGCUCUCCUGGGGUUACAGUCACAACAGACAGCAAAAUUUGGACCAGCAUUCGGUGAAGAAGUUUGAUCGGGAAAUGAGCCGACGUGUCUUCCCAGCUCUUCCCACAGAUACAGGGUACUCGUGGGUCCCUUUUGUCCAGAGUGCAUCACACAAGGUAUCGCCCGGGUGAACUCGAACUUUCGACAGGUGCUCCGAAAGGACAAGGCUCCUCCUCGGAAGAAAUCCCUCAAAACGGAAAUGUCUUAAUACUGACUCUGGAAGUUUUUGCCCGUGCGCCGCGAUAAAAAUCCAAUGAUCCGAUGGACAUUUGACAACGCAGUUCCAACAUAAGGUGUUGCUGGCCGCCAUCCCGGGCCCGGCCUGCUCCCCGCCGCAAGAGGCCCCACCACGAGCAGGGAGGGAAAACCCAGCAGCCGCCGCCGCCGCCACCACCGCCUUCUCUCCCCCUGCAAGGCUCCUGCUCCGACUCCAAAAAUUCCUCCCAAACUGUUUUUUUU